Acyrthosiphon pisum (pea aphid) is the source of this 5680-nucleotide long non-coding RNA. RefSeq lists it as uncharacterized. The transcript is spliced from 2 exons. NCBI's taxonomy places the organism in Eukaryota, Metazoa, Arthropoda, Insecta, Hemiptera, Aphididae. The record is from RefSeq and is a predicted model, not a curated record.
ACUAACUACUUUAAUCAGAAUGGUAUAUAUGUACCAUACUUUAAAAGCAUAAAUGCAUUAUUGUAUCUAAUUUAUUUGCCCUUUUUAUUUUAUAGUGUUCAUCGUAUAACAUUGCUGUCGGUUUAACAUGUUUCUUGUAUAAAUAUAUCGUUUUCUUGUUUUUUUUUUUUUAAUUUUUAAAUAUUAUUAAUUAUAACAUAAUAGUAGGUACGAUUAUAUAGGUACUCAACACAUUGCAGAUAACAAUUAAAACGUUACCCUUACGUAGUAUAAUAACUCUGUUUUAUGAUUAUUAUUCCAGUUAUAAGCUUGUAUAAAUACUGUUAUGUUAAUUUCGAAAGAAUAGGUAGGUAGUUUAUAUAAGAUGUUGUGCUAUGUUAUGUUGGUGAACGAUCAAUAUGAAAUAAUGAUAAUAAUAUGUUUUGAUUAUAUGUAGUUAUAUUGUAGUAAACUGUCAGUAUGAAACACAAUCAGAUAGAUAAUGUCAUGUAAUUGUGUAAAAAAAAGAAAAUUAUUAUUCAGUAAAACAUAUUCUUUCUACAUGGAUAUAAAACAAAUUUGAGCUACAAAUAUAUUAUAUGGGAGGGAAAAGCAUAUUAUCCUAUAACCGUACGCAUAUUCAUGGUACAUUGCUCCAAACGUGUUUUUUUUCUACUGACGAUUACCAAGUUUGAAAUGGAAAAAAAAUUUGUAAUUUACAAAAAAUUACUAUGGUAUCGAACGAAAAGAAUUAAUCGUUAUGGCUGCAGUUGACUUCUUGGGUUAUGCUAUAUUAUUGAGUAGGCCAUAAAAAAGAUGGAAGCGAAAUACGGUGUAGAAGUUUGUAAGAAUGUCAUUUCCUUUUCGGAAAACCAUGUUCACGGGUUCCGUUUAUUUUUAUUACCUAUAUUGAGUUCCAGUGCGAUUUCAAUCUCGAGGUUUUCAUGCUUGGAUGAGCUACUUGUGAGAAGAAGGUCGUAUCGAAUUUGGGAGAAGGUGAAGAGCUGAGUAACUAUUAUAUUUCUGCUUUUAUAACCAUUGAGAAAUAGGAGAAUGUAUGAAAAACUUUAUAAACCAUAUAUGUAGCUAAUGCGCAAGCACGUGUCACACACUUCCUGGGUCCUAGGUUUACCCAAUUAAACAAUUAUCAAACCUCCUACACACAUUUGCAAAAUAAAUCAUAUUUUCACGUUGGUUGAAUAUUUUUAUUGCAAAUUAUCAUACCAUUUAAAGUAAUAUUUAAACGAUCCGUAAUAAUUUUAAAAUAAUUUAUUUACAAAUUGGUUUCUACAAGUAGGUUAGAUUAAGUUAGGAAGUCAAUAUUUUAUAUUAUUGGCACGUAAAAUCUCGGAAAUAAAGGAGUAAAUAAGUGGGUAAAGUUAAGCAAUUUUAUUUAAAAAUAUUUAUAAUUUUUUACGUUCAACUGAUUCUUUACUCAUAAAUCCAACUCAGAUUGGUAUUUAGGUUUAAAGUUUAAACUGACGAGGAUACUGCACAAGAUGCACUUCUUACGCCAUUUUUGUUGUACUACAUUUAAUGAAUCCAUUAGAUGUAAUUUUAUUUUCUUGUACUAUGUUAAAUGUAAAUAUUUUAUAGAUCAGUCAUCACUAUAAUAUGGUGGAGGUAAAGCUUAAAAUUAUUUUUUUUAAAAUUCGCCAAAAUUAAAAUUUCGAUUUGCAAAUCCUAAUAAUCAAUUUCAUUUUUUUAAAUUGGUAUGAAAAAUCUAAUAUUGGGCAUGGUAAGAUUUCGUGGACACUGAAGUCGACAAGCAGAAGUUGUACGACACGAGUGCUUGACAUUUUAUGUAUGGUGUUGCUGUGUAUCUGGUUUAUUAUAUUUUAUUAAACAAACUGUUUUUUUACUCUACGUGACAAAGUCGACAGUUUAAUUUAAAAAUUCCUACUUCCAAAUUCUAAGGAUGUAUUAUUAUUAUAAAGUUUUUUUUCACCCCUUAUUUAUUUCUGACGAAACGCAAUAUAAUGUAUACAUAUUACAUAUACAUACUGCAUUUAACGUGCAGUACUGCAGUAAAUACUUUCGAGUUCAAGUAAUAACAGAGCAUAUUAUUAUCAUAAGCAUGUAUGUAUGUAUUAUUAUUACAGUCCUUCGUAGUAGUAACGAGAGACCAAAAAAUCAUCAUCAUGAGGAAUACGUUUAUGAUGGAAACGUGCGGGUAAAAUUCAAGAAAUAAAAAUAAGGUCCAAAGUCUCACGAUCUCGGACGUGUGUAAUAAAAAAUUGAAAUAAAAAUCGUCGAAAAUAUCGUCGCCAUUGCGAAAGUUUUCUAGUCGUCAUUUUUGACAAUCGUGUUAUUUAAAUAACUUAAUUCGUACAAUUGUUUUCACCAUCACAUGUACAAAUUCGGAGUGUAAGGAGUGUGGACGAGUUUUGGAGAUGUUUCACUUUAUCGUUUGGAAGACGCAUCGAUCAUAUUGUGUGGCACCGAGUCCAGUACCAAGCCCUAUACUUCUUUCCAAAUAAGAACAUACCGGUUCUGCGCACUUUUUUCCCCUUCCACCGGUCACUACUUAUUCCUUUAUGUGGGAGAUGUGCGAAGCUGGUCGGAAACCGGUCGCCGUCCGAUGCGUUCUUAUUUGGAAAGAAGCAUAGAACCAUGGGAAUAGAGUUAAUCAAUCAUGAGGUGGGGAGAGGAGUAUAAUGAUUGAGCAAUGCCGAAUAUAUUUUGUUUUAUUCAAAAUAACUCUUCAAGUACCUAUUGCUGAUAUUAGAUUAUUACUCAUGCACUUUUUGUAAUUAUAGCUAAUAGAUAUGUUUAUUUUGUUAUAACCGAUAAACAUUUUUUUGUAUCUAUUUCUUUAUAUAGAAACUAAGUAAAUGUUUAUAAUAAUUGACUAAUGUGAACUUCCCAUUGCUGUAUUAUUUGUAAAAUAUUAUAAAAAAUGCAUGUAAGUACUAAUAAGUUUCAAAUUUCUAAAUGGUAAUAAAAAAAAUUUAUUUUUAAAUACGAGGAACAAUAAAAAUAAUAUUUAUGUAUUUAGAUCUUAUCAUUAACAUUCAAUCAAUGUUAAUAACUAUAAAAUAUGAGGGAGGAGAGGACUAAGGAUACUUUAAAAACAAUUAUUGUUUCCUCCCUCUCGGCUAAAACUCCAGUGCACGACGCUGCCUAUAAUAUAUAUAUAUACAUAUACGAUACUAUGUCGCAUACACUGCAUAAAUGUAUAAUUUGUGCGUAUAUUUCAAAGAUACAGCACUUGUCUUACAAAAUUUGUACAAUGCAGGUCGGCGCAAUAAUAAUUGUAUUGUAUUAUUAUUGAAGUAUCGAUGACGCGUGGCAGUCAACCGCUUAUUAUAAAUACUUCGAAUUCCCAAACUUAGUACUGAAACGUAUUCUGCGUAGUCAAUAUUAUAUUUCACGGAGCCCAUAAAGUGUGGCAAACGUGUGUUGUUUUCCAAGUAUAAAAUAUGCACAUGGAUUAUUCAUGAACCAACGUAAAACGUAUAGUAUGCAGUUUCGACUGCAAUGUUACAGAUAUUACAUAUCUAUUUUAUAUUUAUUCGGCUCCUAUACAAAAUAUAUCACACAGUGUAUGAUUCAUGAUCAGAAAUCCGUAUCACGGUACAUUGUUAUUAUUAUUGUCACGGUUUGAGGACCAUGGGCACAAAUCAUAGUGGCGCUGAGGGAGCAACCUUAUAGUUCUAGAGGUAACGUCACAAAUUCCAUGAUUAAACAGCAUCCGCCUACGGUCAUAAACUCAUGAAUCAUAAAUCAUAAUAUUGUAGCAAACAAUAUUCAUUUUUAUAGUGUGCUUUCGGUUUACAUCGUCAAAAAUGUAUAAAAUAUAAAUAUAUACAUAGGUACAUCCGGUACAAGACGAUUAUUUUAAUAGUAAACAUUAAAAUUUUUUUGGUAAAUGAAAACAACACUGAAUUCAAUACUUUUAUACCACAGCCCUUAUCCAUUUUUUCUAAUAUUAUAAGUAGGUACCAACUUAAAAUUUUUUUUUGACUGUUUAUGCCAGUAUAGGUGAUUAUACUUAGCGAUUAUCUGUUGGUUCAAAAUAUAAAAUUACUUUAUGGUGGAUUCUCUACUUAUUUUUCCAGUCGUAUUUUCAAUAUUUUCCUCCGUUAUAAAAUAUUUUUUAUUUAUUUUAUUUGUUUUAUUAAAAAUACGAACAGAUAUUAACGUUAACAAUAAAAAAAAAAAAUAUGUAAUGAAUUGUACCUACGCCCUACACCAAAGUAUAUAAUAUUAUUAUAUUAUUAAAAAUAAAAAAUAAAAAUAGGCUUAAACCUCGAACCGUCUCUGUUUGGUUUCGAGGGUUCUAUAAUAUGUUAAAGGGCUUAAAAUAUAUACCGUCGUGAUAUAAGACUGUUGAUAGCCUUAUAACAAUAUUAUAGAGUGGUAACUUUUGCAGCAACGCGAGCUCAAUAUGCCUAGUGAAUACGCAAUCCUAAUGGUAAAUAAGUUUCGAAAAAGAGAAAUGUCACAGGUCGUACACUGUUUUUCACAAUUUAUUGAUAAGUAAUAUAUAGUAUACGAUCUGGCUUUCAAAGAUUAUACAUUAUUAUAUUAUAUAAUAUACUAAUGGGCAACUUAAAAUAAAAAAACGGAAAGAGGCCGGAAAAUACGUUCAACAUAUUAAAUACAUUAUGAUUUACUAUUGUUACUUAUUGCAGAGACCUCAAACCUCGUCUUAGGGUUUAUACCAAUUAUACCUCGUUUAUCACAUGGUUUUUAUACCAAUAAUCGGAUUGAAAUAGAUGCGUAGAUUUAAAUUCAUUAUUAUUUUCUUUUGACUGGAAAAACCUCAUGUAUUAUGUACAUAUUAUUAUAAUAAAGUAUGUUUUAUGAUGUGAAUUACUAAAAUGUGAUUAUGAAUAUUCAUAUUAUUAUGUUGUGCGUGAAUAAUAAUCAAAAAAAGUGACAUUUUAUGAAUAAACUGUUGACCGUGAAUGAUCGAAAUAAUAUCACGUGUACCUACAAUUUAUAUAAUUAUUAUUAUAACAAUAUUGUACCUAUAUCUUGACUACACCAUAAAUUAAAUAUUGACUGAGUUUUUGUCACUGUUUUCGUAUAGAUAACAUUUAAAAUGUAUUGUAUAUACGGUAUAAUUAAAAAUAUGAAGAAUAUUAUAAAAGUGGAUAAAGGUAGGUAUAUCCAAAUCUAUAUACAUAUAACCAUGUUUGUGUGUUUAUCAGUACUGGGUAAUUUUGGGAAUUACAAAAUAUAUCAAAGCUUUAUGGCCCAUAUUAUAAUAUAGGUUCACAUAAUAUUAGGCUUGGUUGGUCUCACGUUGGUUUUUGUUUUGAUUAAGUGACAUUAAAAAAGAAAUACUUUAUAGAGAAUACAACGUUUGCUGGGUCAGCUGGUAUGCUAUAAAAUUUUGUUUUUUAAUUAUCGUGAUUAGAAUAAAAAAAAAAUCAUCUUUCAUUUAAGAACACAUUUUAUGUAAUUUGUAUAUGCACAUAAUACGAUACUAAUAUUGAGAAUGAGUUAUAACAUACCAGCUACCUAUUAAGUUUACUAAAAAGUUUAGUCAAUAAAAUAUGAUGAGCGAUGACUAUCAAAAUAACUGUGGAAAAAUGUCAAGUAAAAUGCAAAUAAUAAUUUAGUGGCCAAUGUGUAAAAUACAAUACACACAAUACGGUUGAUUGUAUAACUACAGUGCCUAACUACUCUAUAAAAAAAAAAAACAGAUUCGAGUUACAUAUUUUAAUAUUAUCGAUGUCUUUCUAGAUAC